GUGUCAGCCGCCGCGGUAAUACGGAGGGUGCAAGCGUUAAUCGGAAUUACUGGGCGUAAAGCGCGCGUAGGUGGCUUGAUAAGCCGGUUGUGAAAGCCCCGGGCUCAACCUGGGAACGGCAUCCGGAGCUGUCCGGCUAGAGUGCAGGAGAGGAAGGUAGAAUUCCCGGUGUAGCGGUGAAAUGCGUAGAGAUCGGGAGGAAUACCAGUGGCGAAGGCGGCCUUCUGGACUGACACUGACACUGAGGUGCGAAAGCGUGGGUAGCAAACAGGAUUAGAUACCCUGGUAGUCCACGCCGUAAACGAUGUCGACCAGCCGUUGGGUGCCUAGAGCACUUUGUGGCGAAGUUAACGCGAUAAGUCGACCGCCUGGGGAGUACGGCCGCAAGGUUAAAACUCAAAUGAAUUGACGGGGGCCCGCACAAGCGGUGGAGCAUGUGGUUUAAUUCGAUGCAACGCGAAGAACCUUACCUACCCUUGACAUCUACAGAAGCCGGAAGAGAUUCUGGUGUGCCUUCGGGAACUGUAAGACAGGUGCUGCAUGGCUGUCGUCAGCUCGUGUUGUGAAAUGUUGGGUUAAGUCCCGUAACGAGCGCAACCCUUGUCCUUAUUUGCCAGCGAGUAAUGUCGGGAACUCUAAGGAGACUGCCGGUGACAAACCGGAGGAAGGUGGGGACGACGUCAAGUCAUCAUGGCCCUUACGGGUAGGGCUACACACGUGCUACAAUGGCCGGUACAAAGGGCUGCGAGCUCGCGAGAGUCAGCGAAUCCCUUAAAGCCGGUCUCAGUCCGGAUCGGAGUCUGCAACUCGACUCCGUGAAGUCGGAAUCGCUAGUAAUCGUGAAUCAGAAUGUCACGGUGAAUACGUUCCCGGGCCUUGCACACACCGCCCGUC
RNAcentral lists this ribosomal RNA (894 nucleotides) under uncultured bacterium. RNAcentral's name for it is "bacterial SSU rRNA". It matches the Rfam family "Bacterial small subunit ribosomal RNA", at positions 505 to 1398 of the family's 1533-position model. The record is from RNAcentral.